GAUGAACGCUGGCGGCGUGCCUAAUACAUGCAAGUCGAGCGAACGGACGAGAAGCUUGCUUCUCUGAUGUUAGCGGCGGACAGGUGAGUAACACGUGGAUAACCUACCUAUAAGACUGGGAUAACUUCGGGAAACCGGAACUAAUACCGGAUGAUAUUUUGAACCGCAUGGUUCAAAAGUGAAAGACGGUCUUGCUGUCACUUAUAGAUGGAUCCGCGCUGCAUUAGCUAGUUGGUAAGGUAACGGCUUACCAAGGCAACGAUACAUAGCAGACCUGAGAGGAGGAUAAGCCAAACCGGAACUGAAACGCGGUCCGGACUCCUACGGGAGGCAGCAGUAGGGAAUCUACCGCAAGGGGCGAAAGCCUAACGGAGCCAAGCCGCGUGAGGGAGAAAAUUAUUGGGAUCGGAGAACUAUGUUAUUAGGGAAGAAGACAUGUGUAAGUAACUGUGCACAACUUGACGGUACCCAAGCAGAAAGCCACGGCUAACUACGUG
Molecule: ribosomal RNA, 497 nt
Filed under: uncultured bacterium
Lineage: Bacteria
Description: partial 16S ribosomal RNA
Rfam family: Bacterial small subunit ribosomal RNA
Source: RNAcentral